UCUGAAGUUACUCCGUGAUAUUUUACGCACUGUUGAAAAGAACGUACAAUCGUAUCAACACUGUUGCUUGGAAGAGGUAAAUGGUGCGUUUCUUGUACCUGUUUUAAUGUAUCGAGUAUACUGCAGCAUUGCCUAGGCCUCCUCGAGUGAUUCUGAAGUUACUCCGUAAUAUUUUACGCACUGUUGAAAAGAACGUACAAUCGUAUCAACACUGUUGCUUGGUGAGGAACAAUGUUUUAUGUAUUUGCUAGGAAGAGGUAAUGGUGCGUUUCUUGUACCUGUGUUUUAAUGUAUCGAGUAUACUGCAGCACUGCCUAGUAUAUGUGUAUAAAUAAAUAUGAAACUGAAUUAUUUAUUACUUUUGCUUUUACUGUCAUCAGUGAUUUGUAUACAGCAUCCAACUUGACUGUUCUUUUGACCGCACUUUGACGCCACCUUUACAUCUCUUGUAUUAAUAAAUAUUUUUUUUGCCACGUUUUUCAUUUUAUUUCCCGUUUUUGACAAUACGACCACAAUUAUAUAGCUUUUAAAUCAAUGGCUUUGCGAUCCGGCAACUCCAAAGCUCUCAUCAUCGAACGGGAGAGAAUGUGAGAAACGAACUUUAUUUAACGCUGAAGAUGGCUCCAAGCUGGAGCCGAAACGUCCGUUUUAGGAUGCGUUCGG
This is a long non-coding RNA of Vollenhovia emeryi, 663 nucleotides long. RefSeq lists it as uncharacterized. The record is from RefSeq and is a predicted model, not a curated record. The transcript is spliced from 2 exons. Lineage: Eukaryota; Metazoa; Arthropoda; Insecta; Hymenoptera; Formicidae.